RNAcentral lists this ribosomal RNA (458 nucleotides) under uncultured bacterium. RNAcentral describes it as "partial 16S ribosomal RNA". It matches the Rfam family "Bacterial small subunit ribosomal RNA", at positions 338 to 795 of the family's 1533-position model. The record is from RNAcentral.
CCUACGGGUGGCAGCAGUGAGGAAUAUUGGUCAAUGGGCGAGAGCCUGAACCAGCCAAGUCGCGUGAGGGAGUACUGCCCUAUGGGUUGUAAACCUCUUUUGUCGGGGAGCAAAAGCCGGACGUGUCCGGCUGUGAGAGUACCCGAAGAAAAAGCAUCGGCUAACUCCGUGCCAGCAGCCGCGGAAAUACGGAGGAUGCGAGCGUUAUCCGGAUUUAUUGGGUUUAAAGGGUGCGCAGGCGGAUUUUUAAGUCAGCGGUAAAAUCGUGGGGCUCAACCCCAUCCAGCCGGUGAAACUGGGGAUCUAGAGUGUGCGAGAGGUAUGCAGAAUGCGUGGUGUAGCGGUGAAAUGCAUAGAUAUCACGCAGAACCCCGAUUGCGAAGGCAGCAUACCGGUGCACAACUGACGCUCAGGCACGAAAGCGUGGGUAUCGAACAGGAUUAGAUACCCGGGUAGUC